UUGACAGGCCAGAAGAAUAAAGUUCUCUAUUCAUAGCACAGGUUCAGUGUGGGUAGCAGCAGCUGAAAGCUUCUUUGCGUUGCCCUGCCAAUGUGCUGCAACCCUGACCUAGUGAGGCUGCUUCUGGGAUAGAGAGAGGAGUCUCGUCUCAUCUCUAAUUCCGUCCUUGUCCUCU
RNAcentral lists this small RNA (175 nucleotides) under Sphenodon punctatus (tuatara). RNAcentral's name for it is "TUC338 (ENSSPUG00000013528.1)". The record is from RNAcentral. Lineage: Eukaryota; Metazoa; Chordata; Lepidosauria; Sphenodontia; Sphenodontidae.